GCAGGCGCUCCCGGCCCCCCUCCUCUCUCUCGGCCCCAACGGUCCCAGGGCACGCGGCGGCGCAUCUCGGCACGCAGACCCCUCCCAGGCCCAGCACGGAGCCGGAAGGGGGAUGGAGGGGGAAAGGCGGGAGUUCGCUGCGGGGCGAGGGGAAGAGGAAAGACUUACCAAGAAGAAUUUUGAUCUAGAAAAGUUACAUAUCCCCAAGGAGAAAAACAGAUAUGAACAAACUGAGAUUCCAACUGUGGCUAUGGAAAAUCAGACACUGCUUGGUGGAAUUUCAAGUACAGAAGAUGGAUUUAUCACUGAAAUAUUUAGUCAAAAUAGUCCAUUUAAUUCUGAAAACCUUAACUUGGAAAAUACAGUAAUUAAUAAACCUGGUGAAGAAGGGUUUCACUCCAGUCAAGACAGUCAUUUAUGCGCUAUGGCUGUUGGAGAAAUUUGCUGGAUCAAUUCAAAUACCCUCUUACUAUUGAAAGUCAAAAUACAAUACUCAAGGUCAAAAUACAGCCACUUGUGGAAGACAAUCAUGAUAAUGAAAUCCUUGGAAAAUGUCAGAAGCUACAAGACCUAAAUCCUUCAGAAGAAGCUAAACAUACAUAUCCACCUUAUCCACUGUUGCACUCAUACAAUGUCCAUUUUCUGUCUUCCUUAAUGAUGCAACAAAGAAAUUCUAAUGUUUUGUCACUAAGUACCUGCCCUCCAGAAGGAACAAUCAAUCAAAAUGUCAGAAUGAUACCAGUAAGAUUCAACAAAAUAGAGAUUUCUUUUUAUAAACGUUUUCUUGAUUUAUGUGUGUGAAUAAGCACAGUUCCCAUAUAAAGAGAAAGCAUAAGAUGCUUUAAAGUUAUUACUAUAUAAGUUGUAUUAGCUACAAUUUCUUUGCCUCUUUUAUUCUUCUCUUCUAUAUAGAACAUAGGACCUUCACCACUGCCUUCCAUUUUUGCCAGUCUCCUGCUGCAGUCUUAGGUUCACCAUGUCAUUUUGAUAGCUUUCAAUUCUGCUUGUAUUGUGCAUUUCCAUGUUAUCCUUGGUCUUGUUGCUGCUUACCCCAGAGAUUCCAGUCCAACACCCAUCUUGUUAUUCUAUUUGGGUCUUUCCUCCAUGUAUGUCCUAGCCAUCUUCAUUUUUUUCUGUAAUUUCCUGUUCUACUGGUU
This 1157-nucleotide long non-coding RNA is filed under the name Chrysemys picta bellii (western painted turtle). RNAcentral describes it as "lncRNA (ENSCPBG00000006260.1)". Lineage: Eukaryota; Metazoa; Chordata; Testudines; Emydidae. The record is from RNAcentral.